UACGUAGGUGACAAGCGUUGUCCGGAUCUACUGGGCGUAAAGAGCGCGCAGGCGGUCGAUCAAGUCGAGUGUGAAAGCCCCCGGCUCAACUGGGGAGGGUCAUUCGAUACUGAUCGACUCGAAGGCAGGAGAGGGUAGUGGAAUUCCCGGUGUAGUGGUGAAAUUCGUAGAUAUUCGCAAGAACACCAGUGGCGAAGGCGGCUCACUGGCCCGGUACUGACGCUGAGGUGCGAAAGCGUGGGGAGCGAACAGG
This 253-nucleotide ribosomal RNA is filed under the name uncultured bacterium. Its description in RNAcentral is "partial 16S ribosomal RNA". It matches the Rfam family "Bacterial small subunit ribosomal RNA", at positions 524 to 776 of the family's 1533-position model. The record is from RNAcentral.